Molecule: ribosomal RNA, 256 nt
Filed under: uncultured bacterium
Lineage: Bacteria
Description: partial 16S ribosomal RNA
Rfam family: Bacterial small subunit ribosomal RNA
Source: RNAcentral
UACGAAGGGGGCUAGCGUUGCUCGGAAUCACUGGGCGUAAAGCGCACGUAGGCGGCUUCUUAAGUCAGGGGUGAAAUCCCGGGGCUCAACCCCGGAACUGCCCUUGAAACUGGAGAGCUAGAAUCUUGGAGAGGCGAGUGGAAUUCCGAGUGUAGAGGUGAAAUUCGUAGAUAUUCGGAAGAACACCAGUGGCGAAGGCGACUCGCUGGACAAGUAUUGAGCGGCUGAGGUGACGAAAGCGUGGGGAGCAAACAGG